This is a long non-coding RNA of Gavialis gangeticus (Gharial), 384 nucleotides long. RefSeq lists it as uncharacterized. The transcript is spliced from 3 exons. Lineage: Eukaryota; Metazoa; Chordata; Crocodylia; Gavialidae. The record is from RefSeq and is a predicted model, not a curated record.
UAAUUGGAAAGUGGGGUAUACUGCAAAGACAUAGCACGUUCCUCUCCAACCUGAAGGAAGAUUUUUAUAAGCCUUAUCUCCACACACAAAAUAGUGACCAGCUAAUGCAGGAAAUCCACCUGUAUUACAGCAUGGGGACAUCAUCCAUUGUGAAUAAUAGCCUGAAAAUUGACCUGCAGGGGAGUAGUUAGAUAUCCAGGAACUAUUAGAAAACCAAGUACCAUUUAUCUUAAAUUCUACCUUGCACUUCCUGACUCCUACUUCAACACGAGAUCCAUUACAGAUCCAACAAAAUUUUCCAGGGGUGGCAUAUGCUAAUCCUACAUAGUCAGACCAGUUGCAACUUACUUUCUGCCAGGUUUCAUUUCCAUGAAAAUCUGAAUA